AGUAAAUUGGUUAAGUUAGAAAGGGCGCACGGUGGAUGCCUUGGCACUAGGAGCCGAAGAAGGACGGGACUAACACCGAUAUGCUUUGGGGAGCUGUACGUAAGCGUUGAUCCAGAGAUUUCCGAAUGGGGGAACCCACUAUCUUUAGUCGGAUAGUAUCCUUACGUGAAUACAUAGCGUGAGGAAGGCAGACCCAGGGAACUGAAACAUCUAAGUACCUGGAGGAAGAGAAAGAAAAAUCGAUUUCCUGAGUAGCGGCGAGCGAAACGGAAAGAGCCCAAACCAAGAAGCUUGCUUCUUGGGGUUGUAGGACACUCUAUA
This 321-nucleotide ribosomal RNA is filed under the name Listeria monocytogenes. Its description in RNAcentral is "bacterial LSU rRNA". It matches the Rfam family "Bacterial large subunit ribosomal RNA", at positions 1 to 314 of the family's 2925-position model. Lineage: Bacteria; Bacillati; Bacillota; Bacilli; Caryophanales; Listeriaceae. The record is from RNAcentral.